Molecule: RNA transcript, 4100 nt
Organism: Quercus lobata
Lineage: Eukaryota; Viridiplantae; Streptophyta; Magnoliopsida; Fagales; Fagaceae
Exons: 8
Source: RefSeq, a predicted model, not a curated record
AAACUUAGCUCCAAAGCGCCGUUUUCUGGGUUUGGAUCUUCCUCAAGCUCUUCAGAAGAAAAAGAAAAAAAAAAAAAAAAAUUUAUACCCAAAAAAAGGUUUGCAACUUUUGGUGCUUUGUUUUCGCUAGAAGUUCCACUCAAUCUCUGAAGAGUAUGUAUUAAUGUCAACUAUUCACUCCGUGGUUAUCCUGUCAGCCUCACUCACAGACAGCCUCACUUACAGACUCACAGACUCACCCUCUCAUCUCUCGCUCUCACAGUCUCUACAAAUCUGCUUCUUAGGUUAACAAUGACUGUAAUUGAUAUAAAUUUGUAUUACGGUGGAGAGCUUUGCAAUGAUGAUGAGAAUGAGGGAUUGCCAUUUAAAGGGCGGGGUAUCAAGUGCUAUUAUAUUCAGAUACAUCGUAGGUUGAAGACCCUGAAUGAUUUGAAGAGGAUAAUUAUGGAAGAAUUGCAUCUAAACCCUGUUUUGCAUGACAUUAAAAUUACUUUUCGUUCUCCACAUGAAAUCCUCCAUCAACACAUUAAUUACAGGUAUAUGGUGAUAGAAGAAGACAAACAUGUGAAGAUCAUGUUUGAUAGGAUGGAGAAAAUGGCCCAAAUAAAUGCUAUUGAGUUGUACAUAAGUGCAGAGCCACGUGUAGAAGUUGGCGGUGAGGAAAUGCAACAAACAACUACAAAUCUACAGUUUAUACUCCCAGAUGAUCGAAGCACCACAUUGGGAGGCUAUACACCCCCAUGUGAAGAGACACCAACACCGAUUGAGAAGGAAGGCUGCCAUAGAUAUCGAGAUAAAUUUUGUAAACAUCGAGAUGAAUCUUUUACACAUCUGGAGGAGGAAGAUGAAGAAGAUGUUAAUCAAAGUGCCAUUAAUGGUGAAGAUCUUGAUGGUAGAAAUGAGUAUGAAGAGACAAUUGAGCGAGAUGACUUUGACAAAGAUGUUGAUGAUCAUGAAAUUGCUGCCAAUCAUAAUGCUGAUGAUAUAUUUGAUUGUGAUGAAAAUGAUGCUAACGAUGAUAUUGGUGUCCAGCAUGUUGCAAACACUAUCCCUACUUACACACCUCCUGCUCCAUCAUUCUAUACAAAUACUUGGAAAAAUAUGGUUGAUCCUUCAAAUGUUGAUAUACCAUUUGCUUCUACUUGGCAAGAGGGGAUGAAUUUUGAUAAAGGGUUGAUUUUUGCCAACAAAGAGGCGGUGAAGCGUGCAUUAACAAUUUACGCUGCUAAGGAAAACAAACAAUUUAUAAUCAGUAGGUCCACCAAGGUGAAACUGUGUGCGAAAUGCGUGGAUAAGUCAUGCAAAUGGUACGUCGGGGCAUUCAUGAAACCUAAACUUCAUGGACUAUGGGUGGUCACAGUUUAUGUGGGUCCUCACACCUGUAUAUCCCUUGGGUUGCCAAAAGAUGGUAGAAUGAUGGACUCUAAUUUUGUUGCAUCAGAACUUCUUCCGAUUUUACUCAAGAAACACACUACCACAGUUCAUGAUCUCAUAACUAACAUGAGCAUGAAGUUUGGCCAUGAGCUUUCUUAUUAUAAGGUAUGAGAUGCAAAACAAAAGGCUAUUGCGAAGAUAUUUGGGGAUUGGGAAAAAUCUUACCAAAAGCUGCAAAAGUUGUUAUUGGCAUACGUUGAUCAAGACCCGGGUACUCGAUUUUUUUAUCAUACCACACCUGGAAGCAUUGCAGGUACUAGUUUAUUGCAUUAUGUAUUUUGGGCUUUCACUCCAUGCAUUGAUGGAUUCAAAUAUUGCAAGCCAGUGAUUAGUAUUGAUGGGACCCAUUUGUAUGGUAAAUAUAAAGGAAAGUUAUUGAUUGCAAUGGCAACUGAUGCUAACAACAAGGUAUUUCCUCUUUCCUUUGCCGUUGUGGAUAUUGAGUCAGGGUCCAGUUGGGGGUGGUUUUUAGAAUGCCUCAAGGAGACAAUAGGAGAUGUGAUUCCUGAUGAGGGUAUUUGCAUAAUUUCUGACCAACAUGAGGGUAUCAAAAAUGCCAUUGCAGCCUGGCCUAGGAAUGAAAAUGGAAGACUAAGGGUUUUUCACCGAUAUUGCCUUAGACAUGUCAUUAGCAACUUUAACACGCAUUUUCAAGACCCGAUUCUAAAGUCAUUGGCCUUGAAAGCGGGAUAUGCUACUCAAGAAGCAAAAUUCAAUAACAUAAUGGACUCAAUUAAGAAUGUUGAGAUUGAAGCCACUAAGAAGGAGUUGACCAUUGGCGUUAAUGGAGGCGAUCCCAAACCCUAUAAGCCACACACAUAUCUAAUGAGUGAGCCUGUGGACAUGUGGGCCCAGUCACAUGAUGGUGGGAAACGUUAUGGGGCAAUGACAACUAAUAUAUCUGAGUGCUUCAAUGGUGUUCUAGAAGGUGCCCGUGGCUUGCCCAUAGCAGCAAUGGUUGAAUUCACUUGGUCCAAACUUGUCGCAUAUUUCCAUGAUCGGCACAAAGACAUUACUCAUGAUCUCUUGGAGGGUAAAAGGUGGAGUAAAUAUGCCAUGUCCGUUUAUGACACAAAUAAACUCAAAGCUGCACAACAUCAUGUGGGGGAAUUUAACAAUCAAGAUGAUAUUUGUCAAGUAUUUAUAUCAUACAAUGUCCAUAGCACUGGAGGGGGACAUAGUUAUGAAAUUCGGUUAAUGGAUAGAACAUGUGGGUGUGGGGAAUGGCAAAACAUUAAGAUCCCUUGUUCACAUGUAAUUAAAGUCUGUGAGUUGCUACACAUUGAUCCGACCAAAUAUAUUGACCCAUGUUAUAGUUUGGCAAAUGCCAUUAAAAGCUAUUCCCAUGGAUUUACGGUGCCUAAGUCAGAGUCAUCGUGGAGGGAUGCUGACGGCCUAAUGUGGCUACCUAACCCAAGUUUGUUGCGGGACAAAGGUCGACCAGUGAAAUCAAGAAUAAGGAAUGAGAUGGAUGGGGUCAAGCGAAAACUGGGAAGCUGGAGGGAGGAGUCGGAUUUGAGGGAGAAUCAACCCAAGCAAAGAUGUGGAUUGUGUCAUGAAGAAGGGCAUAACCGUAGAAAAUGUCCGGAUUCCUGUGGCGCUUCGACAAGCGUUCAUGUUCCAAACUAGGCAUGCGGUGAUGUUCCAUGACUGGCGUUUUAGUUGUACAUUCUAUUACUGUUGACUACGCUACUUAUUAAUAUUUGACUACGUUGUAUCGGAACAAUAUAUAUAUAUAUAUAUAUUUUUUUUUUAUGCUGAAUGUACUUGCAAUUUCACUCUUCUCUCUCCAAUGUACUUAUUUCAAGUUUGUGAUAGAAGCAGUAAGAUUUAUGAUCAGAAUUAAAAUUAUGCAUUGUUGGAUUAGUUGGAUCUUCCUCAACUUCUUCAGAAGACAAAAAUAAGAAUUUUUAUACCCAAAAAAAGAUAACAAAAUUGAAUAGAUAGCCUCCUUAUUGUACAGAAACAACCAUCUGUUCAAUUCAAAAUGAAGGAAGAAGAAGUGAACCGAUGCCAGAUUAAAGACUGAUGGCGGCAUCUUUGAAGAUGGAAGGUGAUGGCUUGGCGGCCGCAACGAUGAUGAUCGGCAUUGGUUGCUGGAAUUUGUCGCAAUUUUUAGCAAAAAAUGGGGCUCCCCUGAGAAAGAAGAUGAGGAUUUGGCAGUUUCCUACCUGACAAGUUUGAUUACGUUGGUGUUUCUGUGGUAGAACAUUGUCAAGUUGUGGAGGCAAUAGCAGAGCACAUAGUAAGGGCGCAAAAGAAAUAAAAUUCAGCCUCCUCGUCCUAUUAUGCUUCUCCUACAGCGGUUAUAAAGUCAAGUGUAGAAUUUUCACCAAUGUGAUUAUGUUUAUAUUCCCCAUUUAGGUAUAUGUUUAUUUGGUUUAAAUGUGUUCGUUCCUUUUCUUUUCAAAUUUGGUAAUUGUACACCUUUCAAACUGGGUAGAAGAGUAUCCUUCUUUUCAGCAAUCAGCGGUUAAUAUUUUUUUAAUUCUCAAAGAGCUUGAAGUUAAUGUGUCAAGGCCUUCACUUGGGUAUCAUUUUGGUGGGUAGCAAGUGUUUGAUGAAAGUUGUGAGUAUUGGCACUUUGCAGCAACUGGUUUGUAAAGUUGCAAGUGUGACUUAAGUAUUGAGAUAAAGGCUUAUUUAAAGGUUCAUGGUUUUCUUUA